Molecule: non-coding RNA, 30 nt
Filed under: Rattus norvegicus (Norway rat)
Lineage: Eukaryota; Metazoa; Chordata; Mammalia; Rodentia; Muridae
Source: RNAcentral
UAUUUGCAUAAACAUUUGCCAGGCCUUGUC